Molecule: ribosomal RNA, 459 nt
Filed under: uncultured bacterium
Lineage: Bacteria
Description: partial 16S ribosomal RNA
Rfam family: Bacterial small subunit ribosomal RNA
Source: RNAcentral
CCUACGAGUGGCAGCAGUGAGGAAUAUUGGUCAAUGGUCGGGAGACUGAACCAGCCAAGCCGCGUGAGGGAGGAAGGUACAGAGUAUCGUAAACCUCUUUUGUCAGGGAACAAAGACUGGGACGCGUCCCCGGAUGAGUGUACCUGAAGCAAAAGCAUCGGCUAACUCCGUGCCAUCAGCCGCGGUAAUACGGAGGAUGCGAGCGUUAUCCGGUUUUAUUGGGUGUAAAGGGUGCGCAGGCGGUCUGUUAAGUCAGCGGUAAAAGCCCGGGGCCCAACCCCGGCCCGCCGUUGAAACUGGCAGUCUCGAGUUGGAGAGAAGUAUGCGGAAUGCGCGGGGUAGCGGUGACAUGCAUAGAUAUCGCGCAGAACUCCGAUUGCGAAGGCAGCAUGCCGGCUCCACACUGACGCUGAGGCACGAAAGCGUGGGUAUCGAACAGGAUUAGAUACCCGAGUAGUC